Small nucleolar RNA from Tachyglossus aculeatus (Australian echidna), 138 nucleotides. The record is from RefSeq and is a predicted model, not a curated record. Lineage: Eukaryota; Metazoa; Chordata; Mammalia; Monotremata; Tachyglossidae.
CACCUCUCAGGGUCACACCUGGAGAGUUUGCAGUACUUUACCAGUCUCGACUAUGGGAGGGAGAGUCAGGCAGAGGCAUAUCCAUUCCAUUCCUAGCUUGGGCAGCGGCUAGCAAAUAGAAGGCAGACUGCUACAAGU